Molecule: ribosomal RNA, 486 nt
Filed under: uncultured bacterium
Lineage: Bacteria
Description: partial 16S ribosomal RNA
Rfam family: Bacterial small subunit ribosomal RNA
Source: RNAcentral
GACGAACGCUGGCGGCGUGCUUAACACAUGCAAGUCGAACGCUGAAGACCUGGCUUUUGUUGGGUUGGAUGAGUGGCGAACGGGUGAGUAACACGUGAGUAACCUGCCCUCUUCUUUGGGAUAACGCCCGGAAACGGGUGCUAAUACUGGAUAUUCACUGAUCUUCGCAUGGGGGUUGGUGGAAAGGUUUGUUCUGGUGGGGGAUGGGCUCGCGGCCUAUCAGCUUGUUGGUGGGGUGAUGGCCUACCAAGGCUUUGACGGGUAGCCGGCCUGAGAGGGUGACCGGUCACAUUGGGACUGAGAUACGGCCCAGACUCCUACGGGAGGCAGCAGUGGGGAAGAUUGCACAAUGGGCGAAAGCCUGAUGCAGCGACGCCGCGUGAGGGAUGGAGGCCUUCGGGUUGUAAACCUCUUUCGCUCAUGGUCAAGCCGCAACUGUGGGUUGUGGUGAGGGUAGUGGGUAAAGAAGCGCCGGCUAACUACGUG